This 69-nucleotide transfer RNA is filed under the name Sphaerodactylus townsendi. RNAcentral describes it as "tRNA-Thr". Lineage: Eukaryota; Metazoa; Chordata; Lepidosauria; Squamata; Sphaerodactylidae. The record is from RNAcentral.
ACCAUGGCUCAGUAGUACAGCAUCUACUUUGUAAGCAGAAGUUCCCUGGUUCAGUCCCUGGUAUCUCCU